UACGAAGGGGGCUAGCGUUGCUCGGAAUUACUGGGCGUAAAGCGCACGUAGGUGGCCAACUAAGUCAGACGUGAAAUCCCUCGGCUUAACCGGGGAACUGCAUCUGAUACUGACAGUCUCGAGGGAGGUAGGGGCGUGCGGAACUUCCGGUGGAGCGGUGAAAUGCGUAGAUAUCGGGAGGAACACCGGUGGCGAAGGCGGCAUCCUGGACCGACACUGACGCUGAGGAGCGAAAGCCAGGGGAGCAAACAGG
This 253-nucleotide ribosomal RNA is filed under the name uncultured bacterium. Its description in RNAcentral is "partial 16S ribosomal RNA". It matches the Rfam family "Bacterial small subunit ribosomal RNA", at positions 524 to 776 of the family's 1533-position model. The record is from RNAcentral.